This is a long non-coding RNA of Sarcophilus harrisii (Tasmanian devil), 788 nucleotides long. RefSeq lists it as uncharacterized. The transcript has 3 exons. NCBI's taxonomy places the organism in Eukaryota, Metazoa, Chordata, Mammalia, Dasyuromorphia, Dasyuridae. The record is from RefSeq and is a predicted model, not a curated record.
GAGUCAUGACUUUUCUCUCCGUAGUCCUCAGAAAGUCCUCUGAAUUUCUUUUAGUCACUUAUCAUUUUGUGGUAAAGUUAUUUGUGUGCAGCGAGGAAGCGAGUCUUUGCCCUUACAGUGGGCUGGUUUUCCUGGAGAUAAGCACUUGAGGACGGCCAGCUCUCCCCCUAAGAGCAGUCCAGAGGGAAGGGGAAGAUCACUGGAGAAGGAAGAUGCAUGUCCCUGCUAAGGUCCAAGGGAGGUGUUGGAGGGCAAGGAUUGGGACACACCUGCUGGAGGAGGCACAAGGAGAACAGGGAGGGAUCACCGAGACCCAUUGACAUCUGGGAGCAGCUUGCCAUGGUCACAUUCUCUCCACUGGAUCCUCUGCUCCUCAGCACUUCACUAGUGAUGAACAGAAGAAAAAACUACUGGGCUAGCCAAUGGGAAGCCACCUCUGCAAGCAGUCUCAAGGCAGAUUGGAGAACCCGGCUAACAUCAAGAACAGUAUGGAAUUUCCCCCCUAUGUCCUGACUUCCCUCCCUCUCUGGACACUGACCUUUCAACAGGCUGUGAGUAGAAAAGCAGACAGAGGAUUCUUGUUAGCUCUUCAUGGAAGCCUACCUGAACCAUGUCUGGAAACUUCCGAGAUUGGGGCAUUAAGGGUAGCCUUGGGGAAAGCCACAGUUGUUUUAUUAUAUUUGAGUUAUUAUUUCUGCUUCUAUGGUCAUAAGUAAAGAGCUAUCCAGUAUAGUCAAACUACACUUGUGUGUUCACUCCAGGAGCACAACGCUAGGGUCUGAAAUCCC